AUGCUGCCACUCGUCUCUCAGCUGUUCCCCCUUCCCAACUACCGCCUCCUCCUCCUCCUCCACCUCCCCUUUGCUCAGUCAGACUGAAGAAAAGACCAAGCGAGGCUGAUCCUAAAAGGCAGGCCACGGGGAUAACUAAUCCGCGCAUGGAGGCACGCCCCCUCAGCCAAUCAGGGAAAGGAGGCUGAAAGGAAGGGGGGGUGGCAGGGUUGGACCUUUCCAGAGAAAGCAGGAGAAAAAAGGAGCAGGAGGAGGAGUUUCCCUGUGGCACCUCUAUUCCUUCUGGGACAGCACACACACAAUAGCAAGGCAUUGAGCCUUAACCCAACAGGUUGUUUCUGCAGAGCAGAAGAGGAAGAUGCUCAGUGGAAACCUGGAGACCAGGUUAAAGCAUCUCAAAGCAACGCAAAGAACCCAACAGGUCUUUGAACUGCUGCAUGGGAAAGCAAAAAGACCAAACUGUAAAAUGAGGAAGAAAAUGUGUUGAUCUUUGUUAUGAAACGUGCCAAAAGUCUUUAGGAAAAAUAGGAAUCCAAACCAAAACUCUCCAACAUCACCUACCAGUAGUUUUCCACUAAAAAGACCAUCAUCAAUUGCCUUGCAUCCUCACACAAAGUUGCCAGAAUCUGGAGAAGAUUUACACACAAGGCGUUUGUAUCUUGACGGCACUGUGAUGAAUGUGCAGCCCGAGUAUCCAUUUCCAUCCAGCCUCCCUACACCUCCAUUUUUUAUUUAUUUAGAGUGCACAUCACGCCACAGACAAACUCACCCAACAAACAAAGAGGCGAGCAGUCAGACUCAGCUGAUGUGAUUGAUGACAGGAUGAGCUCAUUGGCACAACAGAGGUGAGACUCUGCACAUCACAGAAGCUGGCUGCUGCUGGGUCAGUUCACGUGCACACUCUGAAAGCUAAAGAGUGAUUUAAACUGGUUAAAGAGCACUACAUUAUCUGCAGUAAAUCUGCACUUGGGGAGCAUCCUGGAUUUGAUCAGAGCAAGGCAGCUCCAGAGGAGUUGCCAUAGAUAACCUUUGAAUGAAAGAAGACGAGCAGGAGCAAUACAUGAUUGAGCUCCGGGUAAGGCUGCAUUCAACAGCGCCUCCUGCAAACCCCCACCGCCUCCCUUUCACCGAGCUCAGGGAGAGGGGGGUGGGAGUCAAAUGACACUGGCAAAUUUCCUGAGGAAUGAAUGAAUGAACGAAUGUACGCAGGUGGGAGUGAAUUGUGCAGGCAACAACGGUGGGGCACAAAAAGGCGCAGGUGACUCUCCUUUCCUUCACAUGCUGAUCGGGAUUAGCCCGUAUUUAAGAUGACUUUAUCCCGGGUUUUUGCUCGCUAUUUUCUGGCCGCUCUCAGGAGUCCCAUUCCCCGCCUCCACUUCCAUCUCCUCCCCCCUUUCCUGCUGCUGGCACCCGGUAAAAGCUGAUUUUAGAAAGAUCCAGAACACCCGUUUUAAACGUACGACCCAGGCGCGCACCGCACAGUCCGCAAGAGUAAACGAAUGCGUCUUCAUUUAAAAUACAAAAAUUGUCAAUGUCGAGGCUCCGUAGCUUUUGGCCUCUCUUCCUUCAGCUGCCACUGCGGCGCGAGCGCCGUAACCAAGGUAGCAAAGCAGGGGGGACACAAGCGGCGGGAGGCGCGCGCACACUGAAAACUUUCCACCGAUUCCUUGUGGAGCCGAAUCAGGCACGACAACCCCCACACUGUGUCCGCUUACCUGGCGGUUGGUCCAUUUCCAAGUAGAAUAUCAGCUCGGUGGAGUAGGGCAUCGUCAUGUCCCGCCAGUCUCCUUCCUCGUCGGCUUUUUCCGUCGUCAGAACAGUAUUGUACAUCGCUUUCGUUUGGCUAAAACCGUUUUUCCACUUGAAUUCUGUAUUUUUGCCUACGUGCUGCUAGCAAUUGCACACCGAACAAAGAAUAUAUAUAUAUAAAUAAACCGCAAUAUAUAAAAUAGUCAUACAGAUAAAUUAUCUGUCUGUUCGAAAAAUCUGAAUUCCUGCUUCAGAAUUUAAUAAAUAGACAAAAAGUGUACGGCAGGCUCCGAGCUGCGGCUGCUUUCUCCGACAUAAUAGUAAUAGAAAUAGCUCGGGGCUCUUCAUGAAGGCCUUCUUUGUGAUAUUUCAUAUUCCGCCGUCUUGCCGGCUUCAUUUUAAGAUGAGCAGUGACAAGAGGAGGCCGGCAGAGGUUGACAAGGGCUCGACCGAACCAUUCUGCUCCAGUUUACAGGGCUGACCGUGGCUCUGUGCGCAGACGCAGAGCGACUGAGUUCCAAAGCCAAUAGAAAAACGACUCCAGUCUCUGAAGAGCCAAGUUACAAAUUCAGUGCUUUUUCCAAGAAGAACCCCAUCUUCCUCCUGGCUGACUGCACACAGCUACAAGGUACUUGAUCAUAUAAAGCAGCAGCAGCAGCCGCCUGGGGUACAGUAUAACAAGCUGUAUGAAUAAUGACCCUUAAACAAUCCGAAGGAAAGUAGCAAUGGUUUUUGCAUACAUUGUAAAAUAAUUGUGCAGUACAUGAUACUCCACUUUUCUAACAGGAGACAGUUUCAUAGUCAUAAAUGAGUUAUGGCCUAGUUUCUAUUGAUUUGCGCAGUUCAUUAAAAUAAACAACUAUGUAUAGUUUACAAUGACUGUUCCCACUUUUUUCACUUAGAAGACAUUUCUACCAGGUAUUACACUUAAACAACUGCAUUAACAGGCUCAAAACUGAACUAGAUUUAUGAAUCUAUGAUCUAUUAACAUUUUAAGUUUUAGGUUAAAUUUUUAUGGUUAUGGAAAACGCUUUCCAUAUAACUAGUGAUAAAAAACAAAAAAAUGUGCAACUUUUGUUAGUAAAAUAUUGAAUUCUGAAAUGAAAUUACAGCAAACAAAAAUGUAAAGGAAAUUUCAAAUGCUAUUAAUUAUUUUAAAAUGUAUUUGAUUAAUAUUUGUUUGAACCCAGCCCUGAUUUCAAAAUGUACAGCAACAAUGCCUUUACAUCCUAAAUAAAACUUUUUGAAACCCUAAAGAGAACUCAACUAAGAGACAAAAAAUUAAACAAAAAAAAGAUAAACAAAAUGAAACAAAAGUUGUUCAUGUUUUAAAGAACAAAAAGAUAAAGGAAAGGAUGCUAAAACCAAAAGGCGUUUUUAAACACACUUUUAUGCAGACCCACACAUGAGUACAUAGUACACAAAAACACACUAACAAAUACCCUACAGCCUACAGACAUAUAGUACAAACCAAAAGUUUGGACACACCUUCUCAUUCAAAGAGUUUUCUUUAUUUUCACGACUAUGAAAAUUGUAGAGUCACACUGAAGCCAUCAAAAUUGUGACAUAACACAUGUGUAAAUAUAUACAUAACAAAAACAUGUAAAACAAGUGAAAAUAUGUCAUCUUGUAGGUUUUUCAAAGU
This is a long non-coding RNA of Oryzias latipes (Japanese medaka), 3394 nucleotides long. RefSeq lists it as uncharacterized. The record is from RefSeq and is a predicted model, not a curated record. Lineage: Eukaryota; Metazoa; Chordata; Actinopteri; Beloniformes; Adrianichthyidae.